UACGGGGGGGGUAAGCGUUGUUCGGAAUUACUGGGCGUAAAGGGCUCGUAGGCGGCCAACUAAGUCAGACGUGAAAUCCCUCAGCUUAACUGGGGAACUGCGUCUGAUACUGGAUGGCUUGGAUCGGGAGAGGAAUGCGGAAUUCCAGGUGUAGCGGUGAAAUGCGUAGAUAUCUGGAGGAACACCGGUGGCGAAGGCGGGUCUCUGGGCAGUAACUGACGCUGAGGAGCGAAAGCAUGGGGAGCGAACAGG
This 252-nucleotide ribosomal RNA is filed under the name uncultured bacterium. RNAcentral's name for it is "partial 16S ribosomal RNA". It matches the Rfam family "Bacterial small subunit ribosomal RNA", at positions 524 to 776 of the family's 1533-position model. The record is from RNAcentral.